GGAGAGGUGGCAGAGUGGUCGAAUGCGUCGGUCUCGAAAACCGAUAUACCCGCAAGGGUAUCGAGGGUUCGAAUCCCUCCCUCUCCGCUA
This 90-nucleotide transfer RNA is filed under the name Gemmata obscuriglobus. RNAcentral's name for it is "tRNA-Ser". It matches the Rfam family "tRNA". Rfam says of the family: Transfer RNA (tRNA) molecules are approximately 80 nucleotides in length. Their secondary structure includes four short double-helical elements and three loops (D, anti-codon, and T loops). RNAcentral also lists the same sequence under 1 other name. The record is from RNAcentral. Lineage: Bacteria; Pseudomonadati; Planctomycetota; Planctomycetia; Gemmatales; Gemmataceae.